This 422-nucleotide long non-coding RNA is filed under the name Cavia porcellus (domestic guinea pig). RNAcentral describes it as "lncRNA (ENSCPOG00000039256.1)". Lineage: Eukaryota; Metazoa; Chordata; Mammalia; Rodentia; Caviidae. The record is from RNAcentral.
GCGGCGCGGGCGCGGGGACGCGUGCAGAGCGUCGCGAGCGCGGCACGGGCAGAGGCGCGCUGACGGUCACCUCCAGCACGCGCCGGGGAGGCAGCGCACCGCGAGCCACAGCACCGUUCUCUGCUGCUGCCGCGCGUGGAUCGCCGCGACCACCGCUGCAGAAGCCGCGGGCGAGCACCAGUGAGCCCCAGAGACCCACAGCCUGGGCGGCUGCUGCUCCCGGAUGCCAGGGCCAGGGCGCCGGACGGCUGCCAGCAGGAGGAUGAAGAGCUCGGCGGGUGGAAGGAGAGAAAAGCUUCUGGUUGCGUCCAAAGCUCAGCUUUGCCACAGAAAAAAAGCCAGCUUAAAUUCUCCACUCAUACUUAACCUGAUAUUUGAAUUGCACGGAGGUAAGCAAUUCAGAUCUUCAUGCUAUGUCUGUG